GGCCUCUAUCAGGCAUCAAUUUAGAAAUUGGGAGGCUUACUCUGUCUGGACCGCCAUAAUAGAAUGCCAUAGACUGGGUGGCUUAUGAACAACAGAAAUUUCUUACAGUUCUGGAGGCUGGGAAGUCCAAGACCAAGGUGCUAGCAGGUUCCAUGUCUGGUGAGAGAUUGCUUCCUCGGCUAUCUUUUUCUAUAAUACCACAUGGUGGAAAUGGCAAGGGAGCUUCCUUUUGGCUUCUUUUCUAAGGGUACUAAUCCUAUUCAUGAGGGCUCUGCCCAAAGGACCUAAUAACCCCCAAAGACCCCACUUCCUAAUACCAUCACUUUGGGGGGUUAAUUUCAGCAUAUGAAUUUUGGGUGGACACAAACAUUCCGACCAUAGCAGAGCUAUAAAGGACUCACUGGUUAGUGGUAUCAAAUAUGCACAAGCGAAACGGUCAUUCCUUUGUUUUCAGGGGUGAGGCAGUGCUACAGCCUUCUAUCUGUGUCUUAAACUGGCUUGCCUGCCCUCCCUAUUGUUCUACAAUGUGCUUGACCUUUCUUCUGAUUGGUACGCAGGAUCUGUAUAACUUAGGUGUUCCUUUGAUCUUUUGAUGAUGAACACUAGAGAGGAUUCAGGGACUUUGGGAUGGUGGGUAGGAGCCAGCUACAGGAAGGUCUAGAGAAAGCUUUCCAGGCAGAUGGAAUAGAGGAUGGAGUCUAUAGGGCAGGAAUGACCUUGGUGAGUUGAGGAAACAGGGGCCCCAAAAGGCUGGAGCACAAUAACUAGGGCAGAAAGUGGCAUAAAAUGAAGUCAGGGAAUACAGCUGGGAUCAAACUACAGUUGGGGGGAAGACAGCUUGGAGUCUAGGGUAUUAAAUCUGAGCUAGGGUGGGCUCCUGGAAGAGAUAGGAAUGUCCCUGUCAAAGCCCCAGCUGAAUACUGCAGAACAGCAGAGGUGGUGAAACAAGAAAACCCAGGCCAACCUGGCUGAAACCAUCUAAAUGAAGAUGAUGUCGGGUGAACAGAAGGAAACAUAAAGACCACUAGAGUGGAACACAAGAGUGUCAGUGACCUAAAGAACCUUAUUAAGAACACACCAACCUCUCAAACCUAGACAAAGAAGGGUGUCUGAGAGGAUAUUUAAACCACAAACCCAAUUCAAAGCUGCAGACUGUUUUAAGAGACAUCUCAGGAGGACCCUGGGGGACAUCCACCUCUGAGGCUGGAGAUGCACUUCCCCACUGUUAUCUAUAGAAAAAUGGAAAAUCUUUUACAUUGUCAAUGGAGUACAUGGAAGUUUACUAUUCACUAGCUCAGGGAUUGUCCUCUAAAAAUUUAUAGCUUGACUACAUAGAGUUUUAACUGAUUGUCUGAUGGUAGGUAGGGUUGCAAUGGAGCAUAAUGAACUGAAGGGUAAAAGAAAAAAAUGCUGGAAUAUACCAUCACCUGGUAGAAUCCAGAGUCCUAACGAGCUUCUAUAUAAUUCUAGUCUUAACUGUUACACUUGAGAGAAAAUGAUAUAAACCACAUACAUGUUUUUAAAUGUUUGUUACCCCUUCUGUCCAAGGUUUCUGUACUGUUGCUACCUUAUACCAAGUCACUAUCAUCUCUCACCUGGAUUAUUAAAGUAACUAACUACUUAAUCUUUCUGCUUCCAUGCUUGCAUCCUUACAGGCCUUCCUCAAACAGGAGUCUGAGUGUGGAUCUUCUAAACACUAAAUCAGGACUUCUUUUUCCCAAUAAUGGUGGGCUACAUUAUUUGGAUCGACCCUAUAGCUGAAAACAACCUGAAACAGGAAAACUGAACAAAAUAUAAGAAGUAUUUUUUUAAGAUCAAUGAAGAGAUGACAAAACAAUAAGGAAUUGUCAUGCCAAAAAGUGAAGGGAAGACUUAAGAAUGGGUAAGAAGGCAUGGGAGCCACUUUUGCCCUGAAGGCACUCUCAUAUUCCCCAAAUUAGACCACUUUGACAGCGUCAUGAGUCCCAGGGUAUGAAAAUCAGAGGCACAGACUGGCCAAGUAGGGAGUCUAAUAAUAGACUGUGGUGAGCAGGCUCUAAGGUAUCUCCCACCCCACUCCCAAGUGUAAGGGAAGGGACUUCCGACCUUAAUCUUACCAAGAGAGUAUGGCAAAGUGAUAGAAUGUCAUUCCCAUGACUGUUGUUAUAAAAGUGUCAGUCUUGUUAGUUACUUGGUCUUGUUAGUAGACACAUGGCAGAGAACUUAGGGCAGCCUCUAGCAAGAAUGCCACAGAUUAAAAAAACCCACUGAAUCCCAACAAAUACAAAGGGAAUCAACACCUAGAGUCAUCAUAAUCAAACUAGAAUACCAAAGAAAAAAAGAAAAGCUUAAAAGCUGCUAGAGAAAAGGAUAAAUUAUGUUUAAGAAACAUGCUUAGUACAUGGGAGACACCUAUUAUAUAUUUGUUAAAUGAAUAAACAAUCACACAUUACUUGGGAGCUCUUAUGCUUUACUAGCUCUGUGACUUAUGUCACUUGACUGCUUUGAAACUCAGUCUCCUGAUCUUCAAAAUGUAGAUAAUAAAACCUACUUUAUAAGGAUGAUUAUGAGAAUUAUAUUCCUGGUGUAAUUAGGUGCUUCAGUUCUGCACAGGCUCUCUCCCAAAUGUGUGUUUCUGGUCUAUUCUAUGCAAAUCUAUUCUCUAGGUCUCCAGUUCCAAACAUCUAUCUUGAAAUACUUCUAUAUCUAAAACAUAUUUCCUUCCUUCCCUUUUGAAGGGCUGGAGGCUUCAGAAAAACAACAACUAUUGCAAUAACAUCUGUUCAGCUAUGGGGCGGGGGGGAAGGUGAGUGAACAAACAUUUAGCUUAGGAUGUGCCUGAUAAUUCCCCUACCUAAAUAAUACUCAGUAGAAUUUUCCCAAACUCUGUCAUGAUAAGGGUUCCCUGAGGCAGUUGUUAGUAAUACAGUUUUGGGGUCUGUUCCUCUGAACAGCAGGACUCCUUAGGUUUAGGGUAGAACCGGGAAUCUGACUUUUUAACAAGCACCCGGGUGAUUCUCACCUUCGUAGAAUAGUAGGACUAUAGCUAGGAGGUGAGGAUUAAAUAACUGGCCAAGCUACUGAUUAAUCUGAGUGAACAAAUAUUUCCUGCUGUAGGAAAGAGAAUAAAGUACAAAUAAGAGGCUGGACCUGUGAAGGUAUGGAUGUAACAUGGCUCAUGUCUGGACAGGCUCACUAACUUAGAGACAUAGAUGUGCAUAAAAUAUUUUAAGGCAAGAGGCUAGGCUACCAUUGGAUGGCCAAUAGCAAACAAAAUAGGAGUUCUGAUGGUAGGGGACCUGGGAAAGCUUUGUAAAGGAAGUACACUCUAGACUACUGUCUAGACUUACAGAAUUUUUUUCAGGUGAAUUAUAAAUAGGAAAUGGAAUUCUAGGAAAGAAAAAUAGUUUUAAGCAAAGGAAUAAAGGUAUAAAAUGCCCAAGUUGGUUCUAGUGAAAGCAAGAAAACUGAGCUGUUCCUUUCCCAAGUACAGGGGAAAUGCCUGGACAGGAAGGUGAAAAAGGGCCAGGUGGAAAUGAGCAAACAAUUUGAAAACAUAGUGCAGAAGAUCUUACAAGGUUAGGGUUGAGAGAAUGGGUGGGCAGAGGGAGCAGAAACCUGAAAACCCUACCAUGAGACUAGGAGCCUCUGAGAGAAAACCCAAGAUGAGGACCUCUGCCUCAGGACGCUGAUCCUCACACCUUGAGAGAGGGCUUUCUGACCCCAUAACUGACUGGCAAAUCCCGAAACUUAAGCCCCCAAAUGCCGAAACUCACUAAUCUAUCCCAGUAGUGAGUAGAGACCCUGUGAUCCCCUCCUGGGAUUUUAAAUACGUCCCUGCCUACUCCAGUCCCUCCCCACCUACCCUGCACCUUUCAUGUGUUCAAAAGUCCUGGAAUACUUUUUGUCAACAGCAAUUUCCUCUGCCCAGAAUGUUUUUCCCAACUUUAUUUGACUAACUUAUUCAUUUGUCAGGUCUCUGUUUAUAUACUUCUCACUCAGAGAAGCCUUUCCUACUCACUUGGUCUAAAUGUCCUCCACUCCUCUGUAGAUGCCCUUUGAAUUUUUCUUCAUAGCUCACACAAAUACUUAAGAUGACAUUCUUAUUUGUGUUUGUGGCUCUCUUCAGUCACACAGUAAGCUCUGUGGCUGUGUCUGCUUCCCUCCCCAUUCUCUGCUCAGUACCUAGCCCAGGGCAAUCUCUCACCAUAUUUAUUUUAAAGAGACAGGGAAAGGGACUCUAAGCUUCUCCAAGAUCCUCUGAAUUCUCAAGGCCCUAAUGCCUUUCCUGCCUCCUUUUCCAGAGCUUGUGCCUGGGUUCGAAUCCUGAUGUCAGUAUUUACCAACUGGGACACACUGGACAAGUGGUCUACACUGCUUAAAUCUCAGUUUCCUUUUCCUGUCAAAUUGAGAGGACAGUUCCUACCUCACAGGGUUGUGAGGAAGAUUUAUAAGAGCAUCUAACAGUAAAACAUCUAACAGUAUCUAGAAAAUAGUGGUUGAUAAAAGUUAGCUGCCAUUAUUACUGUUGCUAAUAACGAAUCACCUCUAAGAUUCAAGCCAUCGGGCUUUUUUUCCACAAGAAAGUUCUCCUUUUAUUAAUAUACCUAAAGAGGUCUUAUAAAUUGAUAAGAAAAUGCAAAAAAAAAAAAAGUGGAUUCCAGAAUUGUAAAAUCA
Molecule: long non-coding RNA, 4656 nt
Organism: Herpailurus yagouaroundi (jaguarundi)
Lineage: Eukaryota; Metazoa; Chordata; Mammalia; Carnivora; Felidae
Exons: 2
Source: RefSeq, a predicted model, not a curated record